This is a long non-coding RNA of Hylaeus volcanicus, 1721 nucleotides long. RefSeq lists it as uncharacterized. The record is from RefSeq and is a predicted model, not a curated record. Lineage: Eukaryota; Metazoa; Arthropoda; Insecta; Hymenoptera; Colletidae. The transcript has 3 exons.
GUGGUAGUGUGGUGAGAUGGUAGAGAAGGAGGGAUUGGAAUGCAGCCGAGUGAGGAAUUCCGGCCCCUCCCGCAUAUUUAUCUGAGCGCUGGUCCGCGGAACUCCGCACCAAGUGAGAGCCCCUUUUAUAGUGCGCCGUUCAUAGAAGAGAUAAAAGAGAGGUAUACAUACACGUAUCUACAAAGCCAGUGUCAAACCACUAUGCGCGUAGAUCUAUUCAGGAAUGCCCGCGGUGCUUGAUAAUUGAGCGCAUUCGCGAGGUUUUCUAGCGAAUAAGCGCCAAGCUCGAUCGACUGCGAAACGUCGGCGUCGUAUCGUGUCGUUGCGAUUUACAAAGGGACAUCGCAUCUAUGGGCUCGUGAAUUUCUAUCGCGAUUUAGACGUUUAUUCCGUAGUUUCAAAAUUUUGCAGCUGACGAGAUACGAGAACCCACGAUCCACAGCGUGUGAAUCCAACGCUCUAGCCACUAGGUUGAUCGUGAUUUGUAAAUAUCCCUGUAAAUGGAAAUGUCCCACCGUUGGAAAGAGAAGGGAAACCGCAUACCUUCCUUGGCAACGGGACAUCGAGUUAUCGGUAUGUACACCAUGAUAAUGGAGUCGCAUUCCAUUUAUAUCAGCAGCACUCGCCACUGCAACCUCCUCUCUUCUCCCCACGCCUUUGCUCCAUAAUCAUUUUAGGACAUUUCACGAAAAUCACGCAAAACAAUAUGAAAUUGAAGCUAAUUUUGUGUCAAAUUAAUGCACUAAACAUUUUAUUUGCGUAUUAUAGUUCUUGACUUGAAGGUAAAAAAAAUCAACAAAAAUUACUGUAAUUCAGUUUUAUAAUGGUUAUUAAAAUAAAAAAUUAAUAUCACCUUCCAUCAAAAAAAAGAAAUUUACAUGUCUCCCUUUUCCCUCUAGAAGUCAGCCAAGAAAAUUUUGUCGAGUAUCAAAAAAUUAAGAUAACAACGUUGUAUCGUUUAAUUGUAUAAAAAAUGAAUUGCGUAUCUUGAUUAAUUUCUAAGAAAAGAUUUUGUACAAGAGACACCCUGUAUAUGUAUAGUUGCGGAGCAAAAGCGUAAGCCUAUUUGUGUAUCGCCCGGUAGAGAUGGAAUCCUGAUCCCUUCGCGUGGUCGUUAACAUUGUUUGCCCCUGGAAGAGAGCCGUAGGAAUGUGAAAAGCUACGCUGGCAAAUGGCGAGCAACAACGCCGUAAGGCCGAUCGUGCUCCUUACAGCACUCUCUAUUUUCCUCUACGGUAUUUCCGAGGCAAAUCCUUUCCAGCGUUCACGUGAGAAUUUCGCGUUAAAUGUUCCGCGAGCAACCUCCACGGAGGCCUGACAUCAAUGAAAAUACUUGCACCGCGAACCUUUAACGCCGGAAUAAACACGUUCGAGGGAAUUUUACUUGGAUGGAUAGGAAUACUCGAGCGAAAGAGUUAGAUCGUCUGCAUUUCAUCUCGCAACGAGUAAGUUCCGAGACCCUACGCAUGGCGCUGCCGCUGGAAGUUUUAGAGAUACGUGGGAUAGAGUUAGGCUGGGAUUAUUUUAAGGAUUUACUUGGAUAUAGGAUCCUAGACUACGAUUACUUCAAAUUUGACGAUAUUGGUUCGGAUAGGUUUCUUCUUUGGAAAAUGUUCAAGAGAAAAAUAAGAGAUACGAUAUUAGCAAACUUCAAUUGUAAUGGUAAUCUAGGGUUUCGCCCAAUUUUAAUACUAUCUAGCGGUUCCAUAAUCAACUACUCU